AGAGAGCAAUCGUCUCCAGACUCGAGAGCACAGUGUCCUCUUCUCCCUCCACGGUGAACUUAUUCCUUCCUCAUGUGUUCAGGAUUCGUAGUGUCCAUGGCCACUGCAUCCUAUAGGCAAAGCGAGAGCUCGUUGUAUCUCGGUUGACCACUGAUUGGCACAUGACAAUAUCAUAUGUUUGUCAGCAGGAGACGCAGCCUGAGAAUGAAGGAAAGAUGCCAGUUUCAGAUGAUGCAUCUUGAACAAUCCGGGAAGCCCUUCUAUGUGCUACUCAAGUGUGAGAUGGAGCUUGGCUCCAGGACGGACGCCUUCCAAUUCACAUUAUAUUCGUUGAUGUCUUCAUUGUAAGUCAGCUUAUUUUGAAGUUUCUGGUAAAAUCCUUUGUCAGUGCUUGCGUACAUCCCCUACCCAAACCGGAUGGGGAGGAUAAGACAUGUAUGUAGCUGC
Long non-coding RNA from Lolium rigidum, 447 nucleotides. RefSeq lists it as uncharacterized. The record is from RefSeq and is a predicted model, not a curated record. NCBI's taxonomy places the organism in Eukaryota, Viridiplantae, Streptophyta, Magnoliopsida, Poales, Poaceae. The transcript is spliced from 3 exons.